RNAcentral lists this microRNA precursor (134 nucleotides) under Puccinia graminis f. sp. tritici CRL 75-36-700-3. RNAcentral describes it as "microRNA MIR807". The record is from RNAcentral. Lineage: Eukaryota; Fungi; Basidiomycota; Pucciniomycetes; Pucciniales; Pucciniaceae.
UGCCUCAUCAAUCGGAAGGAAUUCCUUCCGGUCGAUGGGGUUGUUAUACCUCAUCAAUCGGAAGGAGUUCCUUCAGAUCGAUGAGGUAUAACAACCCCAUUGACCAGAAGGAAUUCCUUCUGAUCGAUGAGGUG